CCUCUCUCUCUCUCUUCUCCAAUGCACUAACCUAACUGCUCUUUACGAUAUCAAGAGCUCCAUCUCUCUUCUGACAUCUCUUCUCUCUCAUCUUUCUUUUCUUACCAUCAUCAAAUGUUGACGAAUGAAUCAUUGGGCAUGAAUCAGCAGCAUAUUAAGGCGGUUCAUGUGCGUAUUAUCACUUGGCAUAUACUAUAUAUAUUAGAAACAUAUAUAACAGUAUUCUAG
This 228-nucleotide long non-coding RNA is filed under the name Elaeis guineensis (African oil palm). RNAcentral's name for it is "long non-coding RNA (EGUI_LNC026566)". Lineage: Eukaryota; Viridiplantae; Streptophyta; Magnoliopsida; Arecales; Arecaceae. The record is from RNAcentral.